AGAAUCAACGCUGGCGGCGUGCCUAACACAUGCAAGUCGAACGAGAAAGUGGAGCAAUCCAUGAGUAAAGUGGCGUACGGGUGAGUAACACGUGGAUCAUCUACCUCUUGGUGGGGAAUAACCCUGGGAAACCGGGGCUAAUACCGCAUAAGCCUGCGAAGGGAAAGCGUCGUCUUAAAAACGACGUGCCGAGAGAAGAGUCCGCGGCCGAUUAGCUAGUUGGUAGGGUAAUGGCCUACCAAGGCAAUGAUCGGUA
RNAcentral lists this ribosomal RNA (256 nucleotides) under uncultured bacterium. Its description in RNAcentral is "partial small subunit ribosomal RNA". It matches the Rfam family "Bacterial small subunit ribosomal RNA", at positions 26 to 285 of the family's 1533-position model. The record is from RNAcentral.